Patiria miniata (bat star) is the source of this 104-nucleotide long non-coding RNA. RefSeq lists it as uncharacterized. Lineage: Eukaryota; Metazoa; Echinodermata; Asteroidea; Valvatida; Asterinidae. The transcript is spliced from 2 exons. The record is from RefSeq and is a predicted model, not a curated record.
GAACGGUUGCCACGCAGAUCUUCAUUCUGUACAGAAUAACAACGAUUAAACUGAAACAAAUCAGAAAUUGAUGACGUGCAUGCCAUGAGCAGCCAGUGAUGCAA